This 302-nucleotide ribosomal RNA is filed under the name Citrobacter sp. RNAcentral's name for it is "bacterial SSU rRNA". It matches the Rfam family "Bacterial small subunit ribosomal RNA", at positions 376 to 668 of the family's 1533-position model. The record is from RNAcentral. Lineage: Bacteria; Pseudomonadati; Pseudomonadota; Gammaproteobacteria; Enterobacterales; Enterobacteriaceae.
CGCGCAGCCUGAUGCAGCCAUGCCGCGUGUAUGAAGAAGGCCUUCGGGUUGUAAAGUACUUUCAGCGAGGAGGAAGGGGUAUGUGGUUAAUAACCGCAUUGAUUGACGUUACUCGCAGAAGAAGCACCGGCUAACUCCGUGCCAGCAGCCGCGGUAAUACGGAGGGUGCAAGCGUUAAUCGGAAUUACUGGGCGUAAAGCGCACGCAGGCGGUCUGUCAAGUCGGAUGUGAAAUCCCCGGGCUCAACCUGGGAACUGCAUCCGAAACUGGCAGGCUAGAGUCUUGUAGAGGGGGGUAGAAUU